UAAGGAAUAUUGGUCAAUGGACGCAAGUCUGAACCAGCCAUGCCGCGUGAAGGAUGAAGGUCCUCUGGAUUGUAAACUUCUUUUAUCUGGGACGAAAACGGGAUUUUUAUCUCAAUUGACGGUACCAGAGGAAUAAGCAUCGGCUAACUUCGUGCCAGCAGCCGCGGUAAUACGAAGGAUGCAAGCGUUAUCCGGAAUUAUUGGGUUUAAAGGGUGCGUAGGCGGACUAAUAAGUCAGUGGUGAAAGCCUGCAGCUUAACUGCAGAAGUGCCAUUGAUACUGUUAGUCUUGAGUACAGUUGAGGUAGGCGGAAUGUGUCAUGUAGCGGUGAAAUGCGUAGAUAGGACGCAGAACACCGAUUGCGAAGGCAGCUUGCUAAGCUGUAACUGACGCUGAGGCACGUAAGCGUGGGGAGCAAACA
This 421-nucleotide ribosomal RNA is filed under the name uncultured bacterium. Its description in RNAcentral is "bacterial SSU rRNA". It matches the Rfam family "Bacterial small subunit ribosomal RNA", at positions 355 to 774 of the family's 1533-position model. The record is from RNAcentral.